GCGAGCGCCGAGCCGCGAGGCGACGGCGUUCUCGCCGGAUGGUAGGGAACCGACCCGGGGGACCGCCGGGGGCAACCCCGGCGCCCCCCGAGACGGGGCGAACCACGGUGAAAUGACGGAUCGUCGGCCCCGCGCCGGCGACUCGCCGAAUGAGUUUCUGACCUAUCAACUCGAGACGGCGGGGUAGAGGCCCGCCGCGGUAACGACGGGUAACGGGGAAUCAGGGUUCGAUUCCGGAGAGGGAGCCCGAGAAACGGCUACCACUUCCAAGGAAGGCAGCAGGCGCGCAACUUACCCUAAUCUCGAUUCGAGGAGGUAGUGACAAGAAAUACCGAUGCGGGACCCUACGGGUGCCGCGUUCGGAAUGAGUACGAUUCGAACCACCUAACGAGGAACGAUCGGAGGGCAAGUCUGGUGCCAGCAGCCGCGGUAAUUCCAGCUCCAAUAGCGUACGUUAAAGUUGCUG
This 466-nucleotide ribosomal RNA is filed under the name uncultured eukaryote. RNAcentral's name for it is "bacterial SSU rRNA". It matches the Rfam family "Eukaryotic small subunit ribosomal RNA", at positions 174 to 615 of the family's 1831-position model. The record is from RNAcentral.